This 280-nucleotide ribosomal RNA is filed under the name uncultured bacterium. RNAcentral's name for it is "partial 16S ribosomal RNA". It matches the Rfam family "Bacterial small subunit ribosomal RNA", at positions 773 to 1060 of the family's 1533-position model. The record is from RNAcentral.
GUGGAUUAGAUACCCUGGUAGUCCACGCCGUAAACGAUGGAUACUAGCUGUUGGGGGCAACUUCAGUGGCUAAGCGAAAGUGAUAAGUAUCCCACCUGGGGAGUACGAACGCAAGUUUGAAACUCAAAGGAAUUGACGGGGGCCCGCACAAGCGGUGGAGCAUGUGGUUUAAUUCGAUGAUACGCGAGGAACCUUACCAAGGCUUAAAUGUAGAUUGACCGGUUUGGAAACAGACUUUUCGCAAGACAAUUUACAAGGUGCUGCACGGCCGUCGUCAACU